UUUUAUAAUGUAAAAAUUGAGAUAAGUAUUUACCUAAGUAUUAUGAAUUUUUUUUAUUUAUUUAAAACUUAAAAAGUUUGGCGGUUUUACAUAUCCAUUUAGGGGAGUCUGUUAAUAUAAUUUGAUAAUCCGCAUUUUAAACUAAUUUUUUUUUGAUAUUAUAAUUAUAAAUAUAAUUAUAACAGUUUAUAUAUUGCUGUCGUCAGUUUAUGUUUUAAGAUUAAAAGGACUGUUAAAUAUUAUAUAUUGUUAUGUCAAGUCAUAAUGUAGCUAAUAAAAAAGGUUUGAUGGACUACUUUAAUUAAUGUUAUUUAUUAACCAGAUAAUAAAAAUUAUAUUUUGUUAGUAAGGUGGACUUAAUAGUAAAUUAAUAAUUAGUAUG
Molecule: ribosomal RNA, 382 nt
Filed under: Hapalochlaena sp. 3018A_Cape_York
Lineage: Eukaryota; Metazoa; Mollusca; Cephalopoda; Octopoda; Octopodidae
Description: partial small subunit ribosomal RNA
Source: RNAcentral